UAUUUCUCUAUGAAAAGAACCAUUCGUUAUUGACUUCUGAUCAUUAAUUGGAUGAAUAUUGAAAAUACAGAUAAUGAUACAUGGUAAAGCAGUGUCUUAUAGAUGGGUGCAAUAAAAGUUAGUCAAUGUAUUGUUUCACUCAACUGUUAUACAUUUGAACAAUCACUGCUUGCUUCACUCUACUUUCUUUUUUCCUUAUUUCACGCUACGAAAAAAAGCUGCUGUAUUGAAACCCA
Molecule: long non-coding RNA, 236 nt
Filed under: Mytilus galloprovincialis (Mediterranean mussel)
Lineage: Eukaryota; Metazoa; Mollusca; Bivalvia; Mytilida; Mytilidae
Source: RNAcentral